This 253-nucleotide ribosomal RNA is filed under the name uncultured bacterium. Its description in RNAcentral is "partial 16S ribosomal RNA". It matches the Rfam family "Bacterial small subunit ribosomal RNA", at positions 524 to 776 of the family's 1533-position model. The record is from RNAcentral.
UACGAAGGGGGCUAGCGUUGUUCGGAAUUACUGGGCGUAAAGGGCGCGUAGGCGGGAUGGCAAGUCGGUCGUGAAAUCCCUCGGCUCAACUGAGGAUCGUCGAUCGAUACUGCCGUUCUUGAGGAUUGCAGAGGAGACUGGAAUUCCCGGUGUAGCGGUGAAAUGUGUAGAGAUCGGGAGGAACACCGGUGGCGAAAGCGAUCGACUGGACCUCUUCUGACGCUGAGGCGCGAAAGCCAGGGGAGCAAACGGG